AAGCAGAUCUCCUUCGGGAGUGACGCUUGUGGAACGAGCGGCGGACGGGUGAGUAACACGUGGGCAACCUACCUGUAAGACUGGGAUACUCCGGGAACCGGGGCUAAUACCGGAUGAACAAAGCGUCGCAUGACGCAAUGUUAAAAGGCGGCAUAUGCUGUCACUUACAGAUGGGCCCGCGGCGCAUUAGCUAGUUGGUGAGGUAAAGGCUCACCAAGGCAACGAUGCGUAGCCGACCUGAGAGGGUGAUCGGCCACACUGGGACUGAGACACGGCCCAGACUCCUACGGGAGGCAGCAGUAGGGAAUCUUCCGCAAUGGACGAAAGUCUGACGGAGCAACGCCGCGUGAGUGAUGAAGGUUUUCGGAUCGUAAAACUCUGUUGUUAGGGAAGAACAAGUGCCAUUCGAAUAGGUUGGCACCUUGACGGUACCUAACCAGAAAGCCCCGGCUAACUACGUGCCAGCUAGCCGCGGUAAUACGUAGGGGGCAAGCGUUGUCCGGAAUUAUUGGGCGUAAAGC
RNAcentral lists this ribosomal RNA (521 nucleotides) under Virgibacillus sp. G9-15A. RNAcentral's name for it is "bacterial SSU rRNA". It matches the Rfam family "Bacterial small subunit ribosomal RNA", at positions 59 to 566 of the family's 1533-position model. The record is from RNAcentral. Lineage: Bacteria; Bacillati; Bacillota; Bacilli; Caryophanales; Bacillaceae.